GAUGAACGCUGGCGGCGUGCUUAACACAUGCAAGUCGAACGAAGCACUUUAUUUGAUUUCCUUCGGGACUGAUUAUUUUGUGACUGAGUGGCGGACGGGUGAGUAACGCGUGGGUAACCUGCCUUGUACAGGGGGAUAACAGUUGGAAACGGCUGCUAAUACCGCAUAAGCGCACGGCAUCGCAUGAUGCAGUGUGAAAAACUCCGGUGGUAUAAGAUGGACCCGCGUUGGAUUAGCUAGUUGGUGAGGUAACGGCCCACCAAGGCGACGAUCCAUAGCCGACCUGAGAGGGUGACCGGCCACAUUGGGACUGAGACACGGCCCAAACUCCUACGGGAGGCAGCAGUGGGGAAUAUUGCACAAUGGGCGAAAGCCUGAUGCAGCGACGCCGCGUGAGCGAAGAAGUAUUUCGGUAUGUAAAGCUCUAUCAGCAGGGAAGAUAAUGACGGUACCUGACUAAGAAGCACCGGCUAAAUACGUGCCAGCAGCCGCGGUAAUACGUAUGGUGCAAGCGUUAUCCGGAUUUACUGGGUGUAAAGGGAGCGCAGGCGGUGCGGCAAGUCUGAUGUGAAAGCCCGGGGCUCAACCCCGGUACUGCAUUGGAAACUGUCGUACUAGAGUGUCGGAGGGGUAAGCGGAAUUCCUAGUGUAGCGGUGAAAUGCGUAGAUAUUAGGAGGAACACCAGUGGCGAAGGCGGCUUACUGGACGAUAACUGACGCUGAGGCUCGAAAGCGUGGGGAGCAAACAGGAUUAGAUACCCUGGUAGUCCACGCCGUAAA
Molecule: ribosomal RNA, 780 nt
Filed under: uncultured bacterium
Lineage: Bacteria
Description: bacterial SSU rRNA
Rfam family: Bacterial small subunit ribosomal RNA
Source: RNAcentral